UACGGAGGGGACUAGCGUUGUUCGGAAUUACUGGGCGUAAAGCGCACGUAGGCGGAUUUGUAAGUCAGGGGUGAAAUCCCGGGGCUCAACCUCGGAACUGCCUUUGAUACUGCAAAUCUCGAGUCCGGAAGAGGUGAGUGGAAUUCCUAGUGUAGAGGUGAAAUUCGUAGAUAUUAGGAAGAACACCAGUGGCGAAGGCGGGUCUCUGGGCCGAUAUUGACGCUGAGGAGCGAAAGCGUGGGGAGCGAACAGG
This 253-nucleotide ribosomal RNA is filed under the name uncultured bacterium. RNAcentral describes it as "partial 16S ribosomal RNA". It matches the Rfam family "Bacterial small subunit ribosomal RNA", at positions 524 to 776 of the family's 1533-position model. The record is from RNAcentral.